GCCCAGAGCCUGAAUCAGUGUGUGUGUUAGUGGAAGCGUCUGGAAAGGCGCGCGAUACAGGGUGACAGCCCCGUACACAAAAAUGCACAUGCUGUGAGCUCGAUGAGUAGGGCGGGACACGUGGUAUCCUGUCUGAAUAUGGGGGGACCAUCCUCCAAGGCUAAAUACUCCUGACUGACCGAUAGUGAACCAGUACCGUGAGGGAAAGGCGAAAAGAACCCCGGCGAGGGGAGUGAAAAAGAACCUGAAACCGUGUACGUACAAGCAGUGGGAGCACAGAGCAAUCUGUGUGACUGCGUACCUUUUGUAUAAUGGGUCAGCGACUUAUAUUCUGUAGCAAGGUUAACCGAAUAGGGGAGCCGAAGGGAAACCGAGUCUUAACUGGGCGUUAAGUUGCAGGGUAUAGACCCGAAACCCGGUGAUCUAGCCAUGGGCAGGUUGAAGGUUGGGUAACACUAACUGGAGGACCGAACCGACUAAUGUUGAAAAAUUAGCGGAUGACUUGUGGCUGGGGGUGAAAGGCCAAUCAAACCGGGAGAUAGCUGGUUCUCCCCGAAAGCUAUUUAGGUAGCGCCUCGUGAAUUCAUCUCCGGGGGUAGAGCACUGUUUCGGCAAGGGGGUCAUCCCGACUUACCAACCCGAUGCAAACUGCGAAUACCGGAGAAUGUUAUCACGGGAGACACACGGCGGGUGCUAACGUCCGUCGUGAAGAGGGAAACAACCCAGACCGCCAGCUAAGGUCCCAAAGUCAUGGUUAAGUGGGAAACGAUGUGGGAAGGCCCAGACAGCCAGGAUGUUGGCUUAGAAGCAGCCAUCAUUUAAAGAAAGCGUAAUAGCUCACUGGUCGAGUCGGCCUGCGCGGAAGAUGUAACGGGGCUAAACCAUGCACCGAAGCUGCGGCAGCGACGCUUAUGCGUUGUUGGGUAGGGGAGCGUUCUGUAAGCCUGUGAAGGUGUACUGUGAGGUAUGCUGGAGGUAUCAGAAGUGCGAAUGCUGACAUAAGUAACGAUAAAGCGGGUGAAAAGCCCGCUCGCCGGAAGACCAAGGGUUCCUGUCCAACGUUAAUCGGGGCAGGGUGAGUCGACCCCUAAGGCGAGGCCGAAAGGCGUAGUCGAUGGGAAACAGGUUAAUAUUCCUGUACUUGGUGUUACUGCGAAGGGGGGACGGAGAAGGCUAUGUUGGCCGGGCGACGGUUGUCCCGGUUUAAGCGUGUAGGCUGGUUUUCCAGGCAAAUCCGGAAAAUCAAGGCUGAGGCGUGAUGACGAGGCACUACGGUGCUGAAGCAACAAAUGCCCUGCUUCCAGGAAAAGCCUCUAAGCAUCAGGUAACAUCAAAUCGUACCCCAAACCGACACAGGUGGUCAGGUAGAGAAUACCAAGGCGCUUGAGAGAACUCGGGUGAAGGAACUAGGCAAAAUGGUGCCGUAACUUCGGGAGAAGGCACGCUGAUAUGUAGGUGAAGCGACUUGCUCGUGGAGCUGAAAUCAGUCGAAGAUACCAGCUGGCUGCAACUGUUUAUUAAAAACACAGCACUGUGCAAACACGAAAGUGGACGUAUACGGUGUGACGCCUGCCCGGUGCCGGAAGGUUAAUUGAUGGGGUCAGCGCAAGCGAAGCUCUUGAUCGAAGCCCCGGUAAACGGCGGCCGUAACUAUAACGGUCCUAAGGUAGCGAAAUUCCUUGUCGGGUAAGUUCCGACCUGCACGAAUGGCGUAAUGAUGGCCAGGCUGUCUCCACCCGAGACUCAGUGAAAUUGAACUCGCUGUGAAGAUGCAGUGUACCCGCGGCAAGACGGAAAGACCCCGUGAACCUUUACUAUAGCUUGACACUGAACAUUGAGCCUUGAUGUGUAGGAUAGGUGGGAGGCUUUGAAGUGUGGACGCCAGUCUGCAUGGAGCCGACCUUGAAAUACCACCCUUUAAUGUUUGAUGUUCUAACGUGGACCCGUAAUCCGGGUUGCGGACAGUGUCUGGUGGGUAGUUUGACUGGGGCGGUCUCCUCCUAAAGAGUAACGGAGGAGCACGAAGGUUGGCUAAUCCUGGUCGGACAUCAGGAGGUUAGUGCAAUGGCAUAAGCCAGCUUGACUGCGAGCGUGACGGCGCGAGCAGGUGCGAAAGCAGGUCAUAGUGAUCCGGUGGUUCUGAAUGGAAGGGCCAUCGCUCAACGGAUAAAAGGUACUCCGGGGAUAACAGGCUGAUACCGCCCAAGAGUUCAUAUCGACGGCGGUGUUUGGCACCUCGAUGUCGGCUCAUCACAUCCUGGGGCUGAAGUAGGUCCCAAGGGUAUGGCUGUUCGCCAUUUAAAGUGGUACGCGAGCUGGGUUUAGAACGUCGUGAGACAGUUCGGUCCCUAUCUGCCGUGGGCGCUGGAGAACUGAGGGGGGCUGCUCCUAGUACGAGAGGACCGGAGUGGACGCAUCACUGGUGUUCGGGUUGUCAUGCCAAUGGCACUGCCCGGUAGCUAAAUGCGGAAGAGAUAAGUGCUGAAAGCAUCUAAGCACGAAACUUGCCCCGAGAUGAGUUCUCCCUGACUCCUUGAGAGUCCUGAAGGAACGUUGAAGACGACGACGUUGAUAGGCCGGGUGUGUAAGCGCAGCGAUGCGUUGAGCUAACCGGUACUAAUGAACCGUGAGGCUUAACC
Molecule: ribosomal RNA, 2639 nt
Filed under: Escherichia coli
Lineage: Bacteria; Pseudomonadati; Pseudomonadota; Gammaproteobacteria; Enterobacterales; Enterobacteriaceae
Description: bacterial LSU rRNA
Rfam family: Bacterial large subunit ribosomal RNA
Source: RNAcentral